UACGGGAGGCAGCAGUGAGGAAUAUUGGUCAAUGGGCGCAAGCCUGAUCCAGCCAUGCCGCGUGCAGGAUGACGGUCCUAUGGAUUGUAAACUGCUUUUGUACAGGAAGAAACACUCCCUCGUGAGGGAGCUUGACGGUACUGUAAGAAUAAGGAUCGGCUAACUCCGUGCCAGCAGCCGCGGUAAUA
This 188-nucleotide ribosomal RNA is filed under the name uncultured Bacteroidota bacterium. Its description in RNAcentral is "uncultured Bacteroidetes bacterium partial 16S ribosomal RNA". It matches the Rfam family "Bacterial small subunit ribosomal RNA", at positions 340 to 525 of the family's 1533-position model. Lineage: Bacteria; Pseudomonadati; Bacteroidota. The record is from RNAcentral.